Molecule: ribosomal RNA, 263 nt
Filed under: uncultured archaeon
Lineage: Archaea
Description: partial 16S ribosomal RNA
Rfam family: Archaeal small subunit ribosomal RNA
Source: RNAcentral
AGACGUCUACAUUAGAUACCCGUGUAGUCCUAGCCGUAAACUAUGCGCGUUAGGUGUAUCGGUGACCACGAGUUACCGAGGUGCCGAAGGGAACCGUGAAACGUGCCGCCUGGGAAGUACGGUCGCAAGGCUGAAACUUAAAGGAAUUGGCGGGGAGCACCACAACAGGUGGAGCCUGCGGUUUAAUUGGACUCAACGCCGGGAAGCUCACCGGAUAGGACAGCAGAAUGAUUGCCGGGCUGAAGACCCUGCAUGACUAGCUG